UGCCAGCCGCCGCGGUAAUACGGAGGGUGCAAGCGUUGCUCGGAAUUACUGGGCGUAAAGCGUACGCAGGCGGCUUGUUAAGUCGGAUGUGAAAUCCCGAGGCUCAACCUCGGAACUGCAUUCGAAACUGGCAGACUUGAAUACGGGAGAGGGAAGCGGAAUUCCUGGUGUAGAGGUGAAAUUCGUAGAUAUCAGGAGGAACACCAGUGGCGAAAGCGGCUUUCUGGCCCGAUAUUGACGCUCAUGUACGAAAGCGUGGGGAGCACACAGGAUUAGAUA
This 279-nucleotide ribosomal RNA is filed under the name uncultured bacterium. Its description in RNAcentral is "partial 16S ribosomal RNA". It matches the Rfam family "Bacterial small subunit ribosomal RNA", at positions 506 to 784 of the family's 1533-position model. The record is from RNAcentral.